Long non-coding RNA from Galleria mellonella (greater wax moth), 407 nucleotides. RefSeq lists it as uncharacterized. The record is from RefSeq and is a predicted model, not a curated record. The transcript is spliced from 2 exons. NCBI's taxonomy places the organism in Eukaryota, Metazoa, Arthropoda, Insecta, Lepidoptera, Pyralidae.
UACAGAAUGCACGUGUAUAUAAAUGGUUAUCGACUAAUGAGUUGUUAUUUCGCUGAAUAAUCUUGUGCAACAAAUAUAUGUAUUUCCUGCUGUUGUAUAUAUGUUUUGGCUAUUGAUUAUAGUAAUUCCUUUGUAAUAGACGAUAGUUACAAUACAGGGUGAAAUUAAUGUCAUUAGCAGUACGUAAAACUGAUAAUCUACCGACUAAACCGUCUUUAAAAAAAACGUUUAUGCUCACUUUUUUACUUUAUCCGAGCAGUACUAAUACAAAACCACCGAAUGCAGUUAUGAAUACUAGGGCGGCGCCAACUGCCGUCACUACGAUGCCACACGAAUAUGGUCCGCACAUUUUAAUUGUUUAAGUACUAUAAUUGUAAUAUUAAAAAUAAAUAAAUAAUAAAAUUUUA